This is a non-coding RNA of Zonotrichia albicollis (white-throated sparrow), 397 nucleotides long. NCBI's taxonomy places the organism in Eukaryota, Metazoa, Chordata, Aves, Passeriformes, Passerellidae. The record is from the annotation of a RefSeq genome assembly.
GCUGAUAUGCGUUUUGGCAGCGGCACAAAACUUACAGUGAUAGGCGAGAAUGAUGAAAUCAUACCUCCAGCGGUGGCCAUCUUUUCCCCAUCAAAGCAGGAGAUCCAGCAGAAGAGCAAGGCCACGCUGGUGUGCCUGGCCUCUGGUUUCUACCCUGACCACCUGACUCUGGUCUGGAGGGUGAAUGGUGUGAAAAGGACCGAAGGGGUGGGGACAGACGAGUCCUCCACACAGAAUGGGAGCACCUACUCGCUGACCAGCCGACUGAGGAUGCCAGCCUGGGAGUGGUUCAACCCUCUGAAUCGCUUUGAGUGUGUUGCCAAUUUUUUUCAGAAUGGAACAACAGCCUCAAUAAACAAAUUUAUCCAUGGUGAUGCUGGUUGUGCACUCACAGAAG